RNAcentral lists this ribosomal RNA (334 nucleotides) under uncultured bacterium. RNAcentral describes it as "bacterial SSU rRNA". It matches the Rfam family "Bacterial small subunit ribosomal RNA", at positions 28 to 362 of the family's 1533-position model. The record is from RNAcentral.
GACGAACGCUGGCGGCGUGCUUAACACAUGCAAGUCGAGCGGUAAGGCCCUUUCGGGGGUACACGAGCGGCGAACGGGUGAGUAACACGUGGGUGACCUGCCCUUAGCUCUGGGAUAAGCCUGGGAAACUGGGUCUAAUACCGGAUAUGACUCCAUGACGCAUGUUGUGGGGUGGAAAGCCUUGUGCGGCUAGGGAUGGGCCCGCGGCCUAUCAGCUUGUUGGUGGGGUGAUGGCCUACCAAGGCGACGACGGGUAGCCGGCCUGAGAGGGCGACCGGCCACACUGGGGACUGAGACACGGCCCAGACUCCUACGGGAGGCAGCAGUGGGGAAC